AUGGGUAGUCUAACGGGGACGGUUUCCUCCAAUAAAGUAUCGGAGGACCUCAAAGGUAUGCUGAUGUUAGAUGGAAGCUAACAUGUCAUGAGGACAUACAAAAGCCCAUAGGUAUAUGCAUGCUUAACUGUAAGACCAAUAAGUCAAAGCAGAUACUUAAGUAGGACUAAGUGAUCCGCUAGUUCUAUAUGGAUAGGCUAUCGCUCAAGA
Molecule: ribosomal RNA, 210 nt
Filed under: Cryptococcus neoformans
Lineage: Eukaryota; Fungi; Basidiomycota; Tremellomycetes; Tremellales; Cryptococcaceae
Description: partial large subunit ribosomal RNA
Rfam family: Bacterial large subunit ribosomal RNA
Source: RNAcentral